ACUCAAAGGAAUUGACGGGGGCCCGCACAAGCGGUGGAGCAUGUGGUUCAAUUCGACGCAACGCGAAGAACCUUACCAGCUCUUGACAUGGGUAGUAUGGGCCUGGGCGACCGGGUCCUUCAGUUCGGCUGGCUACCACACAGGUGCUGCAUGGCUGUCGUCAGCUCGUGUCGUGAGAUGUUGGGUUAAGUCCCGCAACGAGCGCAACCCUCAUCUUCAGUUGCCAUCGGGUUAAGCCGGGCACUCUGAAGAAACUGCCGGUGAUAAGCCGGAGGAAGGCGGGGAUGACGUCAAGUCCUCAUGGCCUUUAUGGGCUGGGCUACACACGUGCUACAAUGGCGGUGACAGUGGGUUCUGCGCGAAGGGGCGACCCGGAGCCAAUCCCCAAAAGCCGUCUCAGUUCGGAUUGCACUCUGCAACUCGAGUGCAUGAAGCUGGAAUCGCUAGUAAUCGCGGAUCAGCACGCCGCGGUGAAUACGUUCCCGGGCCUUGCACACACCGCCCGU
This 506-nucleotide ribosomal RNA is filed under the name uncultured bacterium. RNAcentral describes it as "partial 16S ribosomal RNA". It matches the Rfam family "Bacterial small subunit ribosomal RNA", at positions 899 to 1397 of the family's 1533-position model. The record is from RNAcentral.